CGAGAACCAAGAUGCAUGUAGACCAAUCAAGAUGACGCAAAUUUGACCCAGCCAAACCCCAAAGUGAACCCUAGAAAUUAGCUUCAAAUCUCCUCAUUUUCUCUCCUACUCUUUCUUCUUUCUCUUCAGUUGGAACCAUUAUGUGUUAAAUGUGUCUUCAACAAAAGUCAGAAAUGACCAUUCAAGAAAGAGCUCUAAAAUUAUAUUCAACAUUAUGUGAAGUAGAAGGUUUAACUGAGGAUGAGCGCUAUCGCGCAUUGAGCAAAAUUCUAAAUCAUCCAACGCAAAUGCUCAUUUUCUUUAGUUUACCUUCUUUUGUGCGAUUGGAAUGGGUCAAAAGAUUUCUUGCUAACCAUUAAAAAUCAUGGUUGUGUUGAUGAUAUUUUGGUAACUUUUUGUGUUUGUAAUAUUUGUAUGGUAUAAUGACAUGAUAGAAUGUCAUUACAAUGUUGCAACUUUUUGAUGUUGUAAAAUUUUAUAACAUAUGGAUUAUGACAUAUAAACUAAUGAAAUCAUGGAACUUUUGUU
Gossypium raimondii (Peruvian cotton) is the source of this 528-nucleotide long non-coding RNA. RefSeq lists it as uncharacterized. The transcript is spliced from 2 exons. Lineage: Eukaryota; Viridiplantae; Streptophyta; Magnoliopsida; Malvales; Malvaceae. The record is from RefSeq and is a predicted model, not a curated record.